Propithecus coquereli (Coquerel's sifaka) is the source of this 93-nucleotide microRNA precursor. The record is from Ensembl. Lineage: Eukaryota; Metazoa; Chordata; Mammalia; Primates; Indriidae.
GGAGGAUUCCUUGAGCCCAGGAGUUGGAGGCUGCAGUGAGCUAAGAUCGUGCCACUGCACUCCAGCCUGAGUGACAGAGCAAGACCCUCUCUC